GUACAUUAUAAGGGUUGAAAAACUCCAAAACCAGUGUGGCCUCUUUGUCUUGUUGCCUCGGCAGGCCGCCCCAGGGCGGGGCGCACUAAGGCCUGCCGAAAGCACCCCAAAACUCUUCUAUAACACGUCCUCUGAAGCAACUAUACAAUAAGUUUAAAACUUUCAACAACGGAUCUCUUGGUUCUGGCAUCGAUGAAGAACGCAGCGAAAUGCGAUAAGUAAUGUGAAUUGCAGAAUUCAGCGAAUCAUCGAAUCUUUGAACGCACAUUGCGCCCGUUAGUAUUCUGACGGGCAUGCCUGUUCGAGCGUCAUUUCAACCCUCAGGCCCGGCCUGGCGUUGGGGAUCUGCGGCACACCCCGCAGUCCCUGAAAUACAGUGGCGGCUCCCCCACACUCCGAGCGCAGUAAUGCUCUCGCUCAGGGCGUGUGGGUGGCCUGUCUGCCUUGUAAAAAAAAUUAUUUAACUGGUUGACCUCGGAUCAGGUAGGAAUACCCGCUGAACUUAA
RNAcentral lists this ribosomal RNA (506 nucleotides) under uncultured fungus. RNAcentral's name for it is "eukaryotic LSU rRNA". The stretch from base 158 to 311 matches the Rfam family "5.8S ribosomal RNA". Lineage: Eukaryota; Fungi. The record is from RNAcentral.